Molecule: long non-coding RNA, 240 nt
Filed under: Brassica napus (rape)
Lineage: Eukaryota; Viridiplantae; Streptophyta; Magnoliopsida; Brassicales; Brassicaceae
Description: long non-coding RNA (BNAP_LNC024270)
Source: RNAcentral
UAGGUUUAGAAGAUAUAUAACUAUAAUAAUAAUUUGUUACAGAUAAGCCCUGUUCUAAAACUCGGCCGCCAUGGCACUACGCGUCACUCUUCCUCCCCGAUUUAUGCCAAAUCGGUUUAAAAAAUUGGAUAUACAAUUUUUUCCGCCUAAACCGCUUAAAUGACCGCCUAGCCGCCUAAAUGACUGCCUAGCCGCCUAAUCUAUUUUUUAUUUCUUUAUUUUAUUUUAGUUUUAAAAAUA